This is a long non-coding RNA of Scophthalmus maximus (turbot), 2076 nucleotides long. RefSeq lists it as uncharacterized. The record is from RefSeq and is a predicted model, not a curated record. The transcript has 2 exons. NCBI's taxonomy places the organism in Eukaryota, Metazoa, Chordata, Actinopteri, Pleuronectiformes, Scophthalmidae.
AAUUGUAUGUGGCAUGUAUGUGUCUUGGCGUGGUGCCUCUGAAUUGUCUUUUUAAUUAACUUAAGUGAUUAGUUAGGAAUUUUACCGUAUCCGACCUCAAACCUAAUAAUCCUUAUCUUCUUCUUCUUUUUUCCUUUCUGUUUUCUCAUUUUCUGUCCUUGCUCUCCUGGACUAGUACACAUUGCAGUGAACUGUCGGCCCAUUGAGCUGCUCUUUUAUUUUGUGCAUGUCAUCUUUUCCACUGGAUUCCACCACAGUGCAUAUUGUUGCAUUCUGCAUUUUGUAUGAAUUUUUUUGUUGUGUAUAUUUUCUGAUGCUACUUUACAUUUCUAUACACUGGCCUAUUUACUCCACAUGUGAUUAAUCAUUCUGCUUUUUUCCAUUCAAACUCCUACUCGUGUUUUUUUACUGGUUCACCUACUUUAACCCUUUAACCUGGCACCUGCCCUCCCUUUCAUCUCUCUCUCACAGUCUCUCGCUCUUCCUCUCUCUCUUCCCCUCUUCCUCUCUCUCUCUCUGGCUGCACAUGGUAUGGUCUUGCAUGUCUGAGCAGUAGACGGCGAGACAGCAGCCUCAUGUGCUAUUCCGAAUGAUCCAUUCAACAAAGCCUGAGCUAGCAGCACUAAAAUCUCUUCUCUCUGCAGCUUUUGUUUCUGUCUAUGUUUUUUUGGUCCUCAGAUCUUUCUCUCUCUCUCUCUUUCCAUUUUGUCUGGCCACAUCCUCUCCUCCUCUGUAGUGUAGGCUGGUCGGCGCAGACAUGCAGAGGGGACUACAGCAGCCUUGCCGCCGCCGCGGUCAGCCGGACUUUCGUGAUCCCCAGAGGAUGAAUCGUAAUGACUUUGGUGAACCCCUGACCGUUUCCUCUGAGGCCACCAGCAGGUAACACUUUUCACUUAUCAGGUGAAUUCAAAUCCCCACCUGUCAGACGAACUGGCAAUAGAUCUGCUACAGAUGUUCACCGUUCCCAGAUGAUGUAUUCUUUUGCUGUUGAUAAUUUAUCACCAUAUGGAAUUUGGUGCAAACGUUCAUGUCCCUUAUUUGCCUGUAACACCAUCAUCAAGUCAGCAUCUGGAUUCCUCCUGUACUUUGGUUUAUGACCAAAUAUCAAAAGCUGCACCUUGUGAUACAUACACAUACAUAAUUAGAAAAUGUUAGAAUGCUAACAUGCUAAAGUCAGACGACGGACAUUAUAUCUGCAAAACAGUGUGAGCAUGUUAGCAUUUAGCUAAGGAAAUACCGCUCACCUCGCUUUAUUUUGUAUUUUCAAUUUCUGUAUUGUUUUUUUCAUGUAUAUUAUUGCAUGUUUGUUAAAAGUAGUGUACUGUAGUCCCUUCAUGUGGCAUUCCACCAAUACAGGUAUUUAUUAUGUAUAGACUUUCUAUUAAUUCUAUCAAUGAUCUUUUUUUUAUUCUCCUUAUUUUAUAUCUAUUUGAAUAAAAUGAGAACUGCAAGUUCAAAGGACGACAUCACAUUUGCAAAUACAAUAAGUGCUUCAUAAUCAAAUUGAUCAGCAGUGAGUUGCUUCUCAUACCUUUGCUAUGACUGUUAGCGAGCUGCGUUAUUGUCACACCGAAGUCGGGCAAAGGGGAACGAGUGUGUAGCGAAUAAUCUUCACAGCAGCGCAGUGGACAUGGAUAGAUUGCAUGACAUGGUGCAGUUUGCACAUGGAAUGUCGAAGGAUUUCAGGCGCUCGGUGAUGAAGGCCAGAUGUUUGAGUUAUGCAUAGGAAGUCAAUUGUCUCCAGUUGCUACCGGGUAUGAUAGUGAUGCAGCCAGGCACCAGCACUGGUAUCUGCUGUGUAAUCAGAUUUAAGAAGGCCCUCGCACGUAUGAUGGCAUGUGUAUGACCAGAAGAUGUGCUCAGUUUGAAAAGAAAAAAAAGACACAUGAACAGAAGUGCAUGAAUAAAAAAGAGAAACUGUAUAUGACUGAGUAAGUAAGAGAUAAAAGUUUGCAUAGCAACUUAUAUUAAUAUAAAGCAAUGCUGACUAAACUUUUAGAGAGUCAGUGUUGUUGAUCACAAUGAUUUGUCAAAUCUGAAAUAAAAAAUCAUAACAUUGCCUCUGGGCAACAACGA